RNAcentral lists this unclassified non-coding RNA (399 nucleotides) under Hevea brasiliensis (rubber tree). Lineage: Eukaryota; Viridiplantae; Streptophyta; Magnoliopsida; Malpighiales; Euphorbiaceae. The record is from RNAcentral.
UGGUAACUUAGCAUUGGAUCAACGGGAGGUAGUAAUUUCAGCCGGUAGGUUGCUGCAGGCAAUGGUGGAUGUCAUUUCAAGCAAUGGUUGGCUCAGCCUUGCCCUUCUUGCAAUGGAAGUUAGCCAGAUGGUAACCCAAGGCUUGUGGGAGCGGGAUUCCAUGCUCCUUCAGCUGCCACAUUUCACGAAGGAGCUAGCCAAGAGAUGCCAAGAGAACCCUGGAAAUAAAAUAGAGACAGUAUUUGACCUGGUGGAAAUGGAGGACGAGGAAAGGCGUGAACUACUUCAGAUGUCAGAUUCUCAGUUGUUGGAUAUUGCAUGCUUUUGCAAUCGGUUCCCAAAUAUUGACAUGGCAUAUGAGGUAGUGGAUGGUGAGAAUGUUGCAGCAGGGGAGAGCAU